AAAAGAAAAAGAAGCAAGAAAGGACGAGGAACUUACCUUCGCAGACGACGAAUAGAAGGCAGCACGUACAAGGAAAAACAAAAGGAGACAAACUAGCCUCAGAUUGAAAACGUGAGGCUUUGAAGGAAGAAAAGACAUUCGUGAAUUAGCUGACUUGCAUUCGGUUCUUCGGUUGAGCGAGUGUUCCACCGACUUCGACUCGACCUCAGCUUUAGUCAGUCUCCAGUUCAUAAGAUUUCAGGGUGAGAUAUCCUUCUAGCUGGUGAUGGAAUCUCUUGUCAUGACAUGGUGUCCUUAGUUUUCGGACACGUUAUGUUAUUUAUUUAUUUGGUAUUUUAUAAUUUGAGAUUUAGUUUAGAAUUUAGAUGUCCUUCAUGUGAUGACUUUCAAGUUUUGGGAAAAACAUAUUUAUUUGAGCUUCCGCAUUAUUUUCACAUUUAUUAGUUGGGGUUUGUAUCGUUGGUUCUCCCACCUAGGAGGUUAAGUGUGGGUGCCACUC
Long non-coding RNA from Solanum dulcamara, 499 nucleotides. RefSeq lists it as uncharacterized. The transcript has 3 exons. The record is from RefSeq and is a predicted model, not a curated record. NCBI's taxonomy places the organism in Eukaryota, Viridiplantae, Streptophyta, Magnoliopsida, Solanales, Solanaceae.